UGGGGAAUAUCGCACAAUGGGCGCAAGCCUGAUGCAGCCAUGCCGCGUGUAUGAAGAAGGCCUUCGGGUUGUAAAGCACUUUCAGCGGGGAGGAAGGCGUUAAGGUUAAUAACCUUGGCGAUUGACGUUACCCGCAGAAGAAGCACCGGCUAACUCCGUGCCAGCAGCCGCGGUAAUACGGAGGGUGCAAGCGUUAAUCGGAAUUACUGGGCGUAAAGCGCACGCAGGCGGUCUGUCAAGUCGGAUGUGAAAUCCCCGGGCUCAACCUGGGAACUGCAUUCGAAACUGGCAGGCUAGAGUCUUGUAGAGGGGGGUAGAAUUCCAGGUGUAGCGGUGAAAUGCGUAGAGAUCUGGAGGAAUACCGGUGGCGAAGGCGGCCCCCUGGACAAAGACUGACGCUCAGGUGCGAAAGCGUGGGGAGCAAACAGG
Molecule: ribosomal RNA, 429 nt
Filed under: Chloroflexota bacterium
Lineage: Bacteria; Bacillati; Chloroflexota
Description: Chloroflexi bacterium partial 16S ribosomal RNA
Rfam family: Bacterial small subunit ribosomal RNA
Source: RNAcentral